Molecule: long non-coding RNA, 5093 nt
Organism: Triticum aestivum (bread wheat)
Lineage: Eukaryota; Viridiplantae; Streptophyta; Magnoliopsida; Poales; Poaceae
Exons: 11
Source: RefSeq, a predicted model, not a curated record
CCUUGCCGCGCCGCGUUGCCGACCGACCGAGACCGACCCCUCCUGUCCUGCCUACCCGGUCUGGAUCCAGCCCCAACCCACCACCACCAGCUCCACUUCCCUUUGAUUUCCGCCGCCCGCCGAAGCCGCCUCGGGCAAGGACCCGGCCGGCGACAAAGCCUCUUCCCCGGCGGCCUGCCCGCGGCCAGGCGGGCCCUUUCCUCCCUCCCCACCGCCCUGGCCGUGGCCAGUCUGCUCCUCCUCUCUUCGUCCGGGGCCCCGGGUCGUGGAAGCCUCUCGCCUCGCCUCCUCGCGUCUGGUUUGGAUUCACUCCUCCUCGAUUCGUCGCGCGUUUAGGCUCGUGAUUUGGUUUCUGCUCGUGCUCGAUUCGUCCGUUUGGAAUUGCGCCCGGUUUGAUUUUGCUCGUCCUCGCCGUCGUCCGUUUGGGGUCGCGUCCGGUUCGAUUUUGCUCCUCCUCGCCACCGUCGUCCGUGUAGGGUCGCGUCCGGUUCGAUUCUGCUCGUCCUCACCGUCGUCCGUUUAGAUUCGUGUCUGGUUCGAUUUUGUUCGUCCUCGCUGUCGUCCGUUUGGGGUCGCGUCCGGUUCGAUUUUGCUCGUCCUCACCGCCGUCGUCCGUGUAGGGUCGCGUCCGAUUCGAUUUCGCUCGUCCUCGCCGUCGUCCGUGUAGAGUCGCGACUGAUUCGAUUUCGCUCAUCCUCGCCGUUGUCCCGACGCGCCCGCGUGUUCUUGGUCCGGUCUCGCCUCGUCGGCGGUCUCCUCCGUCUCGUUUGCGUAGUAGCAAUUCUGUCCGCGCGUGCUUCUGUUAUCCGAACUAGCAGUCCUGGGUUUCGUGUUCACGUCGGUUACAGGAAUGAACAGGUCUGGUUUCGAAAUUGGAUUACGGCCGGACACGGGGAGCAGUGUUUGUUUAUCGUGCUAGUUCAGACUGGUUCGUCCGUUCCGUCACCUACGUUGCUCUUGGUGAUUUUCAGAACUCAAAAUGUGUGCUCUCCUGUGAUACUCUGUCAAUUCUUGGCCCUCUGUCAGUUCUUGUUGGCCCUCUGUCAGUUCUUGAGUUCCAGGGUCUGUUAAUUCUUGAGUUCUCAUUGUACUGGCUAGGCGUGUGCGCUCUCAUCCUAGAUUCAGAGAUGGGGUGAUUCCUUUACGCUUGAUCUGAUGGUGUAUACUGUUUAUGUUCUUUCCAAUUUGUUUCUUUUUAUCAUGCUUAGCUAGUGUGUUCCGAGCAGAAAAGUUUUACAAGAGUGCAAACCAUGUGGCCUGCUGCUGCUACUGUUGGACAAGGUUCCUUCUUUUCUUCCCGAUGUUACUAUUUCCAUUGAAGUACUCAUACGAGUUCUAGGUGAGCUGCUGCUAAUUAGUUCCCCUUAGACUACAUUCUAGAUUGCAUGGCAUAACUCCAAUAUUUUGUCAUUGCACACUUGGGCAUAUAAUUCUGCUGUGAGCAUAACUCUAGAAUUUAUUUAUCUGCGAAAGCAUGUUCAUCACAUGUUUUUUAUCAAUGCUGGUAACUUGUGUCAUGCCCCUUUCCUUUUGGACAACAAUUUCAACGAACCUAUAACGUGGACAUGUGCUGCUUGUUUUCAUGUGAUGAUGGUGAUCCAAUUGAGUAGCCCAACUCUUAUGCUCUGACAUUUGUUAAUCCCCAGUUAGUGUGCAUGAAAAAUUAUUGUUUGUCAUGUUAAAUUCUAUGGCAUCAACUCGGUAUUGUGAUUAAUGACUUAGUAUUUGUUUAGAGUAGAUACUUGACUUCUUUUUCUUAAAUUUUUAGUGAUAUGUGUGUUUUGUUAUGUCUUAUGUGGAUAUCAUAUUCUUUCUUUGUAUUACUAUAGCCAGUCAAUGGAAAUGCUUUUCUUGCUUUGCCUAGACUUUGUGACAAUUAACUUAUAGUGCGAUCAUUGAUCAUUGAGCUUCUGACACCCUAUUCCGUAAAAUUCCGUUGUAAUGUUUGCUGGAUCAUCAAGUAGUUAAUAUUGAUUCUGAGUUUGUUGGAUCAUUAACUUCUGUGUGUGCUUUGGUUAUCUGAGAGACACUCACUAUCCUGUGUUUCAUAUUCGUGGCGGAGCGAUGAACGAUUAUGUUUCGUGUUUGCCGGUCUGGUUUUGGAUUUGGAUUACGGAGACGGGGAGAGGUCAAAACAAGGUCAGUUUAUCGUGUUCGCUCAGAUCGGUUCCUCGGUUCUGUCGCUGCGUUGUUCAUCGGCGAUUUCCAGACCUCAAACGCAUGCGCCCUUGUGAUACUCUGGUUUGGCUCGCUGGUCGUUAUGGUUGUUCGUUACGGUUGUUCUUAUGUUCUUGAAUCACCCAUCUUAUAAGCAGAGAUGGGGUGACACAUAAUGGUUGUUUUGAUGGUUGCUUAUUUAGUGCUCUUUCCAAUUGGGUUCUUCUUGUCAUGCUUUGCUUAUGUUCCCAAUGUCUGUCUUUCCAUAUAUGGGGAUGCGUUAGGGUGCAAACCGUGUAGGCCAUGGUGUGUUUUUAACUAGCUAUAUGGUGUGUUCUAUACUAUCUGAUGUGGAAGGUGGAAAUAUUGAUAUCACUUCUGUGUUUAUACUUGAUAUGGUGUGUUUUAUUCAAGUAAUUAACCACAUCUCUUACAAAUUUUCCUUGAGAUACAUGUUUAUAUGGCAGGAGUGAUUGUCUUGACGAAUAAUCAUUUAUGCUAACAGACCAGUACUUGAUCAUAGGUACAGACAUGUGGAUCUGGACAUUUCACAUUUGCUCUUUAUUGUGUUGCUAAGGACACUGAACGGUUUGUCUAGGCCACCGCAUAGCCUGGCUAAUCAGGUUGUAGUGAUUAGGGAGAAGCUUGCAGAACCGUAUGAAUUUGAACAACAAUGGUCGAGAGCAGUACAAAUGCUUAGUGGCAUUGACUUGGACUCAGGAAUAAGGAUGCUUGAUGACAAACAAAUUAUCCAAGUGCGUCCAGAUUGCAUGACUAUUUGGAGGAUGAUGAUGCAGUGAAUGUUGAAGCUUUUAUCAACAAAGCCUCAUUUUUUGUCACAAACAGCAACCAGGAAGUUCUGAACUUGUAAUACAAGGUAUGCUAUGCGAGAAUUUUAGAUCUAAAGAAUAAAUUCUUGGAAGCUGCACUUCGAUACUAUGGUAUCUCUCAAAUUGAGCAACGCCAAAUUGGGGAUGAGUAAGGCUUACUCUAUUCAGUUGUAGAUUUGUUUCUCUCUUCUGCAAUUUACUCAUUUUUAAUGUUCUGUCUUGUAUGGUUCUUUGUUGCCUUGCCGGUCUAGUGAUGCCUAAUUUCUAUUUUACACCCUUCAAAUUACCCUACUUGAUACUCAUGUUUAAGUAUUGCAGUGGUUAUUAGCAAGUUGUGUUUGGAACUGAUAUGGCCUCCAUAUUUUAUUCUCAAAGAUCUUGAUGGAACAUAGUUUCUGUAUUUUCUCUGAUAGAUUGACGAAAAUGCUCUUUAACAAGCUCUUAGUGCUGCUGUAACAUGCACAAUAUUGUAACUGAUGAGAGGCAACCACCGUUGCCAACUUGAAAUCAGUUUACUCAUUCAAGUUCUGGAAUUUCUUUAUAGAUUUCUGGGUUUACUUCGAUCUUGCAUGUAUUAGGUUUCCCUUUGUGCCCCUGUCUAUGUCGGUUUCUUGUGUGCAAGUGCUUCAUUAUGUGUGUGUGUGUGACUGUGUGUGACUUGUUGGUGAAUAUGUGUGUGGCUUGACUCUGUGUGUGUGGCUUGAUGGUGUGUGUGUGGCUUGAUUGUGUGUGUGGCUUGACUCUCUCUGUGUGUGGCUUGACUAUGUGUGUGACUUGACUCUGUGUGUGUGGCUUGACUCUCUCUAUGUGUGGCUUGACUGUGUGUGUGACUGUGUGGUUUGAUUGUGAAUAUGUGUGUGGCUUGACUCUGUGUGUGAGUGUGUGUGGCUUGAUGGUGAAUAUGUGUCUGGCUUGACUGUGUGUGUGUGUGUGUGACUGUGAAAAUUGCAUUUGUUUGAUUGUGUGGCUUGUAUGCUUUGCUGAAUGUUUGGUUGUAUAACUUGUGUUCUAUAUUUCACGAUUGAUUGCUUUGUUGAUUGUUGAAUGUGAACAGACCUAGCACUAUUCUUUUUUCUGAACUUUUUUGUGAUUAUGUCUUAUGUGGAUAUCAUAUUCUUUUUUAUGUAUUACUAUUGUCCAGUCACUGGAAUAAUGCUUUUCUAAGUAUUUAAGGUACAUACAUUGGAUCUGGACAUUUCACAUUGGCUCUUUAUUGUGUUGCUAAGGACACUGAUGGGUUGAGUUUGCAUAAAACGCAGUAUGGAGCAAGAAUUUGGUCUCAUUGCAAGGUCACUACCUGGACAUAUAGCCAAGCAAUGUCAAGAGAGGUGGAAUAAUCAUAUGAAUCCAAACAUACAGAGAGAUGCUUGGACUAUGAGGAGGAACAUGCACUGUAUAAUGCCCAGGGAAUAAAUGGGCAAAAAUAGCAAAAUUUCUUCCUAGAAGGAAUGGGGUACUUCUAUUUGUGUAACUUCUAUUUGUUAUCAGUUCUUCUCACCUAUAGCUAAAGUCAAAGACGACAAACCAGGUGAAUUUUUGGAGGUGCAAGAUACACAGAAUCGGCUAUCCAUCGGCUUGUAACUCAUGAGAGGCAACCACAGUUGCCAACUUGAAACAUAUAUAUUUUAGGAACGAAGAUCUGAAUCACCCUCACCCCUCAGAGAAAUCGUUUAGUCAUUCAGGUUCUGGAAUUUAUUUAUAGCUUUCUGAGUUUACUUCGGGCUUGCAUGUAUUUGCUUUCUGUUUGUGCCCCUAUCUAUGUCUGUUUCUUGUUGUUUCUUAUGUGCAAGUGCUCCAUUAUGUGUCUGUCUGACUGUUUGUGGCUUGACUCUCUUGUGUGUGUGGCUUGACUGUCUGUGUGUGGGACUGUGUGUUUGACUGUGUGUGAAUAUUGCAUUUGACUGUGAUGUGUGACUGUGUGUGUGACUCUGUGUUUGACUGUGUGUGACUGUGUGAAUAUUGUGCAUUUGACUGUGAUGUGUGUGACUGAAUAUUGCAUUUUGGCAAUGACUGAGUGUGAUUGUGUGUGGCUUGACUCUCUCUGUGUGUGUGUGGCUUGUAUGCUUUGCUGAAUGAUUGGUUGGUGUGGCCUAACACUGCCUUUGC